Small nuclear RNA from Homalodisca vitripennis (glassy-winged sharpshooter), 106 nucleotides. NCBI's taxonomy places the organism in Eukaryota, Metazoa, Arthropoda, Insecta, Hemiptera, Cicadellidae. The record is from RefSeq and is a predicted model, not a curated record.
AAUAAUCUUAAAUUUGUUGUUCGUUGUAAUUUGAACGAUACAGAGAAGAUUAGCAUGGCCCCUGCGCAAGGAUGACACGCAAAAUCGUGAAGCGCGCCACAUUUUG